RNAcentral lists this ribosomal RNA (459 nucleotides) under uncultured bacterium. Its description in RNAcentral is "partial 16S ribosomal RNA". It matches the Rfam family "Bacterial small subunit ribosomal RNA", at positions 338 to 795 of the family's 1533-position model. The record is from RNAcentral.
CCUACGGGAGGCAGCAGUGAGGAAUAUUGGUCAAUGGGCGGGAGCCUGAACCAGCCAAGCCGCGUGAGGGAAGAAGGUACAGCGUAUUGUAAACUUCUUUUGUCAGGGAACAAAGUCGGGGACUAGUCCCCGGAUGAGGGUACCUGAAGAAAAAGCAUCGGCUAACUCCGUGCCAGCAGCCGCGGUAAUACGGAGGAUGCGAGCGUUAUCCGGAUUUAUUGGGUUUAAGGGGUGCGCAGGCGGCCUGUUAAGUCAGCGGUAAAAGCCCGGGGCUCAACCCCGGCGAGCCGUUGAAACUGGCGGGCUGGAGUUGGGGAGAAGUACGCGGAAUGCGCGGUGUAGCGGUGAAAUGCUUAGAUAUCGCGCAGAACCCCGAUUGCGAAGGCAGCGUACCGGCUCCACACUGACGCUGAGGCACGAAAGCGUGGGUAUCGAACAGGAUUAGAUACCCUUGUAGUC